CUGGUUGAGGGAGAGACAUCCACCUCAACUGAACAGUAUAUCCUUCAUGCUUGGCUGGGACUCCAGAUCAUCUGAGGUUGCUCCUAGCCCCAGUUCACAUGGUGUCCCUUAGAGCUGGAGGGUCCAGAAGCCCCUUCAGCUCUGAGUCCCCCUGGGAGAUUUGGUGGGCCAGCAGCAUCUGGAACACCUGGGCCAGAACCCAGACUUCAUCCCCCAGCAAAUGGCCUUGGAGAGAGCUGCCCUGUGUCCAGAAGAGCCCUUGGACGCCUCUGGUUCACUCAGCACUUUACAAGCCUAUUUUAUGAUUAUACAGAGGAGGUGACACCUAAGCCUUGCCUAAAGUAGGAGGAAGGACAUUCCAGACCAGGCAGUGUGGGAGGGCACAGAUAAUAUGACUGGACAUGCGGAUGAGUUGGUCCAUGCUGGCUACGUUGGGUGAGGUGUAAGUGGCCAGCAGUGGCUGAGGUUGGCCAUCUAGAAAGGAGUCUGUCCUCAGAUACGAAUGGGGCAGUAAGGAGACUACUGCCUCACUGCUCCUUCCCCAGGAUUGGGGUUUUCCUUAAAGUGUCUGUUAGGAAUGUGGGUUUGAGGCUCAGCCCCACCUGUAUUGAAUCGGAUUAGUCACAGUAAGUUUUAAGAACCAAUACCCUCCCUAUCUUGGUGACUCCUCUCUGGAGAGCCUGUUAAAAUGUAACUACCCGCUGGAGGAGGAGGAGAAACAAACUGGUUGGUAUCCAGUAGGACCAGGGCCUGGAAAGCUUGGUGUCCCAGAGGCAGGGAACACUGGGAAGCCAGAGGGUUCAGGGAGGCUUGGGUAGUUGCCUGAGUGGAGAGUCCUGGGACCACGAUUGGGACCGCAGCAGGAAGCUGCCUGCACCUCUUCCCUCUGCUAAGGCACACAGGGCGUGUGCACAGGUGCACUGCAGCCAGCAGCCCUCUGGGCAGGUCUCUCUGCUUCUGGACCUUGACUUUUUUCCUGGGAAAAAUGAAAACCAGGCCCCACCCCAGUUUGCUGGUAUGUGUGUGCUGAAGAGAAGGAAUGAAAACCACUACUUUAAGAGAAUAUGGUGACUGCAGCAUGGUCUUUCACAGCUAAACAUUUGUGUUUUCUUCACUAUUGUAAGGUUGGAGUUUUGUUUUUUAGGCUCAGAAUUAAUAUUUUAUUCUAAAAACAUUCUCAGUGAGUAAAUAAGGGGGAUAUGUGUGUAUAUACAUUGAUUCCUUUGUUUAAUUUUUAUUGGUCCCACUCUUAGAGUGGGAAUCUAUUGCAAGUUUAAAGGGUGCUUCCUUAAAAAUACAUUUGCUCCUGUUGCUUAUACUUUACACAGAAAUUGGUUAACUUUCCAUCUUGACCUUUAGUUUUAAAAAAUAUUUCCCAAUGGUGCCUACACACUUAAAAUAGAACCAAAAUUUCAUGCAACAACACCCACCUGUCAGAUGCAUACUGUACAUUCUGAUGCUGUUUUUUCAAUCUUAUUUCAACGUUUUAAAAUCUUGAUCACAAUCCACUAAACUAACUUCCUGUACCUCUGAUGGAACACAACUUGCACUUUUGAAAACAGGUAGUAUGAGCUUCACAGAACUGUUCCACAGCCCUGAUCUUAUCUCACACUGGCCUGAGUGUUGGGCAUGUGUAUCCCACUUUCU
RNAcentral lists this long non-coding RNA (1647 nucleotides) under Marmota monax (woodchuck). The record is from RNAcentral. Lineage: Eukaryota; Metazoa; Chordata; Mammalia; Rodentia; Sciuridae.